CCUACGGGAGGCAGCAGUAGGGAAUAUUGCUCAAUGGAGGAAACUCUGACGCAGCAACGCCGCGUGGAGGAUGAAGGUCUUCGGAUUGUAAACUCCUGUUGUUAGAGAAGAUAAUGACGGUAUCUAACGAAUAAGCACCCGCUAACUACUUGCCAGCAGCCGCCGUAAUACGGAGGGGGCAAGCGUUACUCGGAAUGACUGGGCGGAAAGAGCGCGUAGGCGGGAUAGCAAGUCAGAGGUGAAAUCCUAUGGCUUAACCAUCGAACUGCAGUUGAAACUGUUAUUCUAGAGUAUGGGAGAGGUAGGUGGAAUUCUUGGUGUAGGGGUAGAAUCCGUAGAGAUUAAGAGGAAUA
This 353-nucleotide ribosomal RNA is filed under the name uncultured bacterium. Its description in RNAcentral is "partial 16S ribosomal RNA". It matches the Rfam family "Bacterial small subunit ribosomal RNA", at positions 338 to 708 of the family's 1533-position model. The record is from RNAcentral.